Molecule: ribosomal RNA, 465 nt
Filed under: Vreelandella stevensii
Lineage: Bacteria; Pseudomonadati; Pseudomonadota; Gammaproteobacteria; Oceanospirillales; Halomonadaceae
Description: partial 16S ribosomal RNA
Rfam family: Bacterial small subunit ribosomal RNA
Source: RNAcentral
CCUACGGGGGGCAGCAGUGGGGAAUAUUGGACAAUGGGGGGAACCCUGAUCCAGCCAUGCCGCGUGUGUGAAGAAGGCCCUCGGGUUGUAAAGCACUUUCAGUGAGGAAGAACGCCUGGUGGUUAAUACCCAUCAGGAAAGACAUCACUCACAGAAGAAGCACCGGCUAACUCCGUGCCAGCAGCCGCGGUAAUACGGAGGGUGCGAGCGUUAAUCGGAAUUACUGGGCGUAAAGCGCGCGUAGGUGGCUUGAUAAGUCGGUUGUGAAAGCCCCGGGCUCAACCUGGGAACGGCAUCCGGAACUGUCAGGCUAGAGUGCAGGAGAGGAAGGUAGAAUUCCCGGUGUAGCGGUGAAAUGCGUAGAGAUCGGGAGGAAUACCAGUGGCGAAGGCGGCCUUCUGGACUGACACUGACACUGAGGUGCGAAAGCGUGGGUAGCAAACAGGAUUAGAUACCCCAGUAGUC